CCUACGGGUGGCAGCAGUGGGGAAUAUUGGACAAUGGGGGGAACCCUGAUCCAGCCAUGCCGCGUGUGUGAAGAAGGCCCUCGGGUUGUAAAGCACUUUCAGUGAGGAAGAACGCCUGGUGGUUAAUACCCAUCAGGAAAGACAUCACUCACAGAAGAAGCACCGGCUAACUCCGUGCCAGCAGCCGCGGUAAUACGGAGGGUGCGAGCGUUAAUCGGAAUUACUGGGCGUAAAGCGCGCGUAGGUGGCUUGAUAAACCGGUUGUGAAAGCCCCGGGCUCAACCUGGGAACGGCAUCCGGAACUGUCAAGCUAGAGUGCAGGAGAGGAAGGUAGAAUUCCCGGUGUAGCGGUGAAAUGCGUAGAGAUCGGGAGGAAUACCAGUGGCGAAGGCGGCCUUCUGGACUGACACUGACACUGAGGUGCGAAAGCGUGGGUAGCAAACAGGAUUAGAUACCCUAGUAGUC
RNAcentral lists this ribosomal RNA (465 nucleotides) under Vreelandella stevensii. RNAcentral's name for it is "partial 16S ribosomal RNA". It matches the Rfam family "Bacterial small subunit ribosomal RNA", at positions 338 to 795 of the family's 1533-position model. The record is from RNAcentral. Lineage: Bacteria; Pseudomonadati; Pseudomonadota; Gammaproteobacteria; Oceanospirillales; Halomonadaceae.